GGGCGAUUAGCUCAGUUGGUUAGAGCGCUACGUUGACAUCGUAGAGGUCGAUGGUUCGAGUCCAUUAUCGCCCACCA
This 77-nucleotide transfer RNA is filed under the name Planctomycetota bacterium. RNAcentral describes it as "Planctomycetes bacterium (bioreactor metagenome) tRNA-Val". It matches the Rfam family "tRNA". Rfam says of the family: Transfer RNA (tRNA) molecules are approximately 80 nucleotides in length. Their secondary structure includes four short double-helical elements and three loops (D, anti-codon, and T loops). Lineage: Bacteria; Pseudomonadati; Planctomycetota. The record is from RNAcentral.